RNAcentral lists this ribosomal RNA (484 nucleotides) under uncultured bacterium. RNAcentral's name for it is "partial 16S ribosomal RNA". It matches the Rfam family "Bacterial small subunit ribosomal RNA", at positions 30 to 507 of the family's 1533-position model. The record is from RNAcentral.
AUUGAACGCUGGCGGCAGGCCUAACACAUGCAAGUCGAGCGGAUGAAGGGAGCUUGCUCCUGGAUUCAGCGGCGGACGGGUGAGUAAUGCCUAGGAAUCUGCCUGGUAGUGGGGGAUAACGUCCGGAAACGGGCGCUAAUACCGCAUACGUCCUGAGGGAGAAAGUGGGGGAUCUUCGGACCUCACACUAUCAGAUGAGCCUAGGUCGGAUUAGCUAGUUGGUGGGGUAAAGGCCUACCAAGGCUACGAUCCGUAACUGGUCUGAGAGGAUGAUCAGUCACACUGGAACUGAGACACGGUCCAGACUCCUACGGGAGGCAGCAGUGGGGAAUAUUGGACAAUGGGCGAAAGCCUGAUCCAGCCAUGCCGCGUGUGUGAAGAAGGUCUUCGGAUUGUAAAGCACUUUAAGUUGGGAGGAAGGGCAGUAAGUUAAUACCUUGCUGUUUUGACGUUACCAACAGAAUAAGCACCGGCUAACUUCGUG